GGAGCUCUCCCAUAUGGUCGACCUGCAGGCGGCCGCGAAUUCACUAGUGAUUGUUUGAUCCUGGCUCAGGAUGAACGCUAGCGACAGGCCUAACACAUGCAAGUCGAGGGGUAUAAGUAGCUUGCUACUUAGAGACCGGCGCACGGGUGAGUAACGCGUAUGCAACCUACCUUUUACUGGGGGAUAGCCCAAAGAAAUUUGGAUUAAUACCGCAUAACAUAUUUGAAUCGCAUGGUUUGAAUAUUAAAACUUCGGUGGUAAAAGAUGGGCAUGCGUAGCAUUAGUUAGUUGGUGAGGUAACGGCUCACCAAGACUAUGAUGCUUAGGGGGUCUGAGAGGAUAGUCCCCCACACUGGUACUGAGACACGGACCAGACUCCUACGGGAGGCAGCAGUGAGGAAUAUUGGUCAAUGGGCGCAAGCCUGAACCAGCCAUGUCGCGUGCAGGAUGACGGCCCUAUGGGUUGUAAACUGCUUUUUUACAGGAAUAAACUUUGUUACGUGUAGCAAACUGAAGGUACUGUAAGAAUAAGGAUCGGCUAACUCCGUGCCAGCAGCCGCGGUAAUACGGAGGAUCCAAGCGUUAUCCGGAUUUAUUGGGUUUAAAGGGUCCGUAGGCGGGCUUUUAAGUCAGUGGUGAAAUCCCAGAGCUCAACUCUGGAACUGCCAUUGAUACUGAAGGUCUUGAAUUUAGUUGAGGUGGGCGGAAUACGUUAUGUAGCGGUGAAAUGCAUAGAUAUAACGUAGAACACCGAUUGCGAAGGCAGCUCACUAAGCUAACAUUGACGCUGAUGGACGAAAGCGUGGGGAGCGAACAGGAUUAGAUACCCUGGUAGUCCACGCCGUAAACGAUGAUUACUCGUUGUGCACGAUACACUGUGCGUGACUGAGCGAAAGCAUUAAGUAAUCCACCUGGGGGAGUACGUUCGCAAGAAUGAAACUCAAGG
RNAcentral lists this ribosomal RNA (946 nucleotides) under Bacteroidales bacterium. RNAcentral's name for it is "bacterial SSU rRNA". It matches the Rfam family "Bacterial small subunit ribosomal RNA", at positions 1 to 906 of the family's 1533-position model. Lineage: Bacteria; Pseudomonadati; Bacteroidota; Bacteroidia; Bacteroidales. The record is from RNAcentral.